UUUUCUUCUCUUCUAAUAUAUCGUAUACAAUAGAAUUACAGAGCUUACUCAAAUUUUCUACUGUCUUCUCAAAUCUCUUCAACUUGCAGGUAAAUUUCUUACUCUUCAAAAUGAAUUUUGUUGCUAUUUAUGUGUUGUUUCUCCUUUUUUUUUCCAAUUUGUUUCAACCCACAUACAAUUGUUUUUAUAUCAAUGGUAAGAUCAUUAAGCAAUGGAGGUUUACCUCAAAUUCAUGAAAAUAAACUAAAUUAAAGACAGAUUUUGUCUAUAUUCAAGAAGAUCCGGAAAUUUUCGAGUUAGGGUUUUGAUGAAUGAAAUUGGGAGAACUUUAUUUUUUUUUUUGUGGAGAUGAAUUGAAAUCAAGAGUUCAGCUUUGAAUAUUCAAUUUCUUUCAAAACUUGUAUUGCAAAUGUUUGUCUUCUUGCUCUAAAGUGUAGCUGCAGCUACUUUUUUUCCUCCUUUUUUCUUGGUUCUUCCUUCUGUUUGGGUCACUAUUAUUAGUUUUGAAUUUAAUGGUUCCUGAUAUCUUCUCCUCUCAUUUUUUCAUCUUUUUUCCCCUUUGUAUUCUUCGGCUAAUUUUGAAGUUUAGUGAUUAAAAUUUUCUCAACGGCGAAACUUUCUUCAACGGUCGAAAACCAUCCCCAAUGCCGGCGACACCCACCCCAACGGUCGAAAACCAGGCCAGCCAUCCACGCAGGUAAAUCCCACCCCAGCAAGAACGGACGCAGGAGACUUCAAUCCAUCGUCUCCAUCUGUUCCUACGACUAAGCCUAGCUUAAAUUCGUAUGUUCAGUUUCUUCUUUCUUUUCUCUUAUUACUGCUAUUUGCUACUUCUUUACGGUAUUCUCAGAAGAAACAGUAGAGACCAUUUCUCAAAGAUAUUCCCUUUCUCUCUAUUUGGGUGUUUCCAAGAUUUGAUUUUUACUCACUUUCUCUCACUAAAGAUUGGAUCUUUACAUAGUUAUUUUGAGUUUUCAACUUUGGCAUUGUUAUUUACUAAAGAUUGCUUUAAGUUUGGGGAACAUUUUGACCCUAUUGUUUUCAAAUCACGGAAUUUCAUCAUUCAUUUCUCACCCCUUCAUCCUUUUCUCCGUCCUUAACCCCCGCGUCCCUUUUAAAUCUUUUCAAAUCUUCGUUAGUAGUAUUAUUUUCUCCGGAAAAUCCGUCAGUUUUCUGGGGAAAAUCUCAUUCUUUUCUUCACUCAUUUCCAAGAUUUAAGCAGUUGAAAACAUUUGCUUUUUUCCAUUUUUGGGAUUCUCAUUUCCGAAUUUGUUGCAAAAACAAUUUUUUUCUAUUUAACUAGUAUAAUUUUGAUUUGUUUUAAUUUAUAGAAGAGUACUGAUUAUUUCUUAAUUUAUAGUAGUAUCAAGUGUUUUGGCAAUAUAUUUCAUUAGAUAUUUGUGUAGUUCCCUGCUUUUUCCAUACAUUUCCCCUACUACGAUCAGGGCUACACCUGUGGUAGCGCUUUUUGGUUUUCGGGUCGUGGUAUUUUCUGUGUUUUCAGGGAAUUUCUAGAAGUUGUGGAGACAAGUUGGGCGCACGAGCACUAGCAAAGGAGAGCAACUAGGACGAGCGUCCGCAACGUGCGGUGGGAAGCGGUGCGUGAGUGUACAACUACAUCAAGUACAACAAAUCAACACAGGUUUAGUUCUCGGGAGUUGGUACCUCCUGUUCUACUGUUUCCCUUUUGGUGUUAGCUAAAUUGAUGUUACUUUGGUUCACAAUAGUUCAACCAUUCUACUAGUGUACUUGUAGUGACUUGUUUCCUUCUACUUUGAUUCGUUGUGCACUAGUGAGUCUUCUUGAGAUUUGUCGUAAGUGUAGUGGCUGCAAUCUGGGAUGAUAGAUUAAGGGCAUGUCCUCGG
Molecule: long non-coding RNA, 1865 nt
Filed under: Nicotiana tabacum (common tobacco)
Lineage: Eukaryota; Viridiplantae; Streptophyta; Magnoliopsida; Solanales; Solanaceae
Description: long non-coding RNA (NTAB_LNC016855)
Source: RNAcentral